Molecule: ribosomal RNA, 368 nt
Filed under: uncultured organism
Description: bacterial SSU rRNA
Rfam family: Bacterial small subunit ribosomal RNA
Source: RNAcentral
CGGAGGGUGCAAGCGUUGUCCGGAUUUAUUGGGUUUAAAGGGUGCGUAGGCGGCCCGUUAAGUCAGUGGUGAAAGCCUCCAGCUCAACUGGAGAACUGCCAUUGAUACUGACGGGCUUGAGUACAGACGAGGUUGGCGGAAUUGAUUGUGUAGCGGUGAAAUGCAUAGAUACAAUCAAGAACUCCGAUUGCGUAGGCAGCUAACUAGGCUGUAACUGACGCUGAGGCACGAAAGCGUGGGGAGCGAACAGGAUUAGAUACCCUGGUAGUCCACGCCGUAAACGAUGAUUACUCGAUGUUGGCGAUAAACUGUCAGCGUCUUAGCGAAAGCGUUAAGUAAUCCACCUGGGGAGUACGCCCGCAAGGGUG